RNAcentral lists this ribosomal RNA (663 nucleotides) under uncultured bacterium. Its description in RNAcentral is "bacterial SSU rRNA". It matches the Rfam family "Bacterial small subunit ribosomal RNA", at positions 142 to 823 of the family's 1533-position model. The record is from RNAcentral.
GAUAACACUUAGAAAUAGGUGCUAAUACCGCAUAAGCGCACGGCUCCGCAUGGGGCAGUGUGAAAAACUCCGGUGGUAUACGAUGGAUCCGCGUCUGAUUAGCUUGUUGGCGGGGUAGAGGCCCACCAAGGCGACGAUCAGUAGCCGGCCUGAGAGGGUGAACGGCCACAUUGGGACUGAGACACGGCCCAAACUCCUACGGGAGGCAGCAGUGGGGAAUAUUGCACAAUGGGGGAAACCCUGAUGCAGCGACGCCGCGUGAGUGAAGAAGUAUUUCGGUAUGUAAAGCUCUAUCAGCAGGAAAGAAAAUGACGGUACCUGACUAAGAAGCCCCGGCUAACUACGUGCCAGCAGCCGCGGUAAUACGUAGGGGGCAAGCGUUAUCCGGAUUUACUGGGUGUAAAGGGAGCGUAGACGGUGAAGCAAGUCUGAAGUGAAAGGCGGGGGCUCAACCCCCGGACUGCUUUGGAAACUGUUUGACUGGAGUGCAGGAGAGGUAAGUGGAAUUCCUAGUGUAGCGGUGAAAUGCGUAGAUAUUAGGAGGAACACCAGUGGCGAAGGCGGCUUACUGGACUGUAACUGACAUUGAGGCUCGAAAGCGUGGGGAGCAAACAGGAUUAGAUACCCUGGUAGUCCACGCGGUAAACGAUGAUCACUAGGUGU